Molecule: long non-coding RNA, 697 nt
Organism: Melanotaenia boesemani (Boeseman's rainbowfish)
Lineage: Eukaryota; Metazoa; Chordata; Actinopteri; Atheriniformes; Melanotaeniidae
Exons: 2
Source: RefSeq, a predicted model, not a curated record
AAGGAUCUGUGUCCACCCUCCCCGUUUUCUCCAUGAAAUAGAAAAAGGGCUGUCGGAAAGUCUAUUAUGUUCCUAGCUAUUUUAUUGUGAAGCUUGCAUGUUAGUGGCGUUACUUUCUUUUUCCGGUGUGUAUCCGCACUGAGACUGAGACCGCACGUUACUAGACGGUCACCCGCCGUGUGCGUACAUGAAUAAGAAACCACACACAUGCAUCCAUACACACGCCAAUCUCACACACACAAACACAUUUACUGCACUCAUCCACUUACAGAUAACACAAACCAUCCUGCUACCCAACUACAAUAAAGAAGUUCAAGGAACUGUCUUCUCUGUGCCCUUCUCUCUGACCGGAGCUCUGUCGAAAGAAAGUUAUCAAACCAGCAACAUACACAUCCACAUCAGAGUGUCCUGCUCUAUCACGAGGGCCGACUCUCUUCUGGCUGCUGUGCAGGACCAGCUGUUAGAUGCUGAACAGCAGAAACAAAGCGAUGCAGCUUCAACAUGCUGCAGGUCUUCCAGGAACAGAGCGAGCGGCUGGACGGGCGGAGAUGAAACCAGCAGAGAUCUGUGAUGGAGGGUCUCCGGGUGGACUGGACAGGAUGGCAUGAAAAGCCAAAGUGAUAUGAUCAUCAUAUACACAUGUAAAGUUAUUUUAAACGACUGUAUUCACUAUAAAAAAUAAAUGACUGUGUGAAGA